RNAcentral lists this long non-coding RNA (221 nucleotides) under Mytilus galloprovincialis (Mediterranean mussel). The record is from RNAcentral. Lineage: Eukaryota; Metazoa; Mollusca; Bivalvia; Mytilida; Mytilidae.
CUCAGAAAACAAGAGAAAACGAUUGGAAUGUGCAACCGUCCCCAAAAGUAAGAUUGUAGUUUCAAAAGAAAAAAAAGCAGAAAAUAAUGUAUUAAGUUUUACAAAAAGGAAAAAAAAGGGGGUUACCCCAACCUUGGUAUAAUAUUCCGAGUCAAGGUAUAUCAGUGCAUGUUCAUAGACCUCCGUUGUAGUAGAACAUAAAAAAAAUAAAGCAUCCAAGC